This 105-nucleotide ribosomal RNA is filed under the name Collybiopsis quercophila. RNAcentral describes it as "Gymnopus quercophilus partial 5.8S ribosomal RNA". It matches the Rfam family "5.8S ribosomal RNA", at positions 52 to 154 of the family's 154-position model. From Rfam's summary of the family: 5.8S ribosomal RNA (5.8S rRNA) is a component of the large subunit of the eukaryotic ribosome. It is transcribed by RNA polymerase I as part of the 45S precursor that also contains 18S and 28S rRNA. Functionally, it is thought that 5.8S rRNA may be involved in ribosome translocation. The record is from RNAcentral. Lineage: Eukaryota; Fungi; Basidiomycota; Agaricomycetes; Agaricales; Omphalotaceae.
CUAGCGUUCGAAUGAUCAAUAACAAAAUUCAGUGAAUCAUCGAAUCUUUGAACGCACCUUGCGCCCUCUGGUAUUCCGGAGGGCAUGCCUGUUUGAGUGUCAUUA